RNAcentral lists this ribosomal RNA (500 nucleotides) under uncultured Flavobacteriaceae bacterium. Its description in RNAcentral is "bacterial SSU rRNA". It matches the Rfam family "Bacterial small subunit ribosomal RNA", at positions 17 to 507 of the family's 1533-position model. Lineage: Bacteria; Pseudomonadati; Bacteroidota; Flavobacteriia; Flavobacteriales; Flavobacteriaceae. The record is from RNAcentral.
UCCUGGCUCAGGAUGAACGCUAGCGGGAGGCUAACACAUGCAAGCCGAGCGGGAUUUUGUUGGUUAGCUUGCUAACUAAUAAUGAGAGCGGCGUACGGGUGCGGAACAUGUGUGUAAUCUGCCCUUAUCAAGGGGAUAGCCCGGAGAAAUCCGGAUUAAUACCCUAUAACAUAUGGGAUGGCAUCAUUUCAUAUUAAAAGCUACGGCGGAUAAGGAUGAGCACGCACAAGAUUAGCUAGUUGGUAAGGUAACGGCUUACCAAGGCGACGAUCUUUAGGGGGCCUGAGAGGGUGAUCCCCCACACUGGGACUGAGACACGGCCCAGACUCCUACGGGGGGCAGCAGUGAGGAAUAUUGGACAAUGGGUGGAAGCCUGAUCCAGCCAUCCCGCGUGCAGGACGACUGCCCUAUGGGUUGUAAACUGCUUUUAUAUAGGGAUAAACCUACUCUCGUGAGAGUAGCUGAAGGUACUAUAUGAAUAAGCACCGGCUAACUCCGUG